GGUCGAUUGGCCCAGCGGUUUAAGGCAUCUGCUUUACACGCAGAGGAUCGCAGGUUCGAUCCCUGCAUCGAUCA
This is a transfer RNA of Colletotrichum orchidophilum, 74 nucleotides long. It matches the Rfam family "tRNA". Rfam says of the family: Transfer RNA (tRNA) molecules are approximately 80 nucleotides in length. The record is from Rfam. NCBI's taxonomy places the organism in Eukaryota, Fungi, Ascomycota, Sordariomycetes, Glomerellales, Glomerellaceae.